UACGUAGGGGGCAAGCGUUGUCCGGAUUUAUUGGGCGUAAAGAGCGUGUAGGCGGCUUGGAAGGUCAGCUGUGAAAACUCGAGGCUCAACCUCGAAACGUCGGUUGAAACCACCUGGCUAGAGUCCGGAAGAGGAGAGUGGAAUUCCCGGUGUAGCGGUGAAAUGCGCAGAUAUCGGGAAGAACACCCGUGGCGAAGGCGGCUCUCUGGGACGGUACUGACGCUAAGGCGCGAAAGCGUGGGGAGCGAACAGG
This 253-nucleotide ribosomal RNA is filed under the name uncultured bacterium. Its description in RNAcentral is "partial 16S ribosomal RNA". It matches the Rfam family "Bacterial small subunit ribosomal RNA", at positions 524 to 776 of the family's 1533-position model. The record is from RNAcentral.